GAUGAACGCUAGCUACAGGCUUAACACAUGCAAGUCGAGGGGAAACGGCAUCGAAAGCUUGCUUUUGAUGGGCGUCGACCGGCGCACGGGUGAGUAACGCGUAUCCAACCUGCCCAUCACUUGGGAAUAACCUUGCGAAAGUAAGACUAAUGCCCAAUGACAUCCCACGAAGGCAUCCGAAUGGGAUUAAAGAUUUAUCGGUGAUGGAUGGGGAUGCGUCUGAUUAGCUUGUUGGCGGGGUGACGGCCCACCAAGGCAACGAUCAGUAGGGGUUCUGAGAGGAAGGUCCCCCACAUUGGAACUGAGACACGGUCCAAACUCCUACGGGAGGCAGCAGUGAGGAAUAUUGGUCAAUGGGCGAGAGCCUGAACCAGCCAAGUAGCGUGCAGGAUGACGGCCAUAUGGGUUGUAAACUGCUUUUAUAAGGGAAUAAAGUGGGUCACGUGUGACUUUUUGCAUGUACCUUAUGAAUAAGGACCGGCUAAUUCCGUG
RNAcentral lists this ribosomal RNA (492 nucleotides) under uncultured bacterium. RNAcentral describes it as "partial 16S ribosomal RNA". It matches the Rfam family "Bacterial small subunit ribosomal RNA", at positions 28 to 507 of the family's 1533-position model. The record is from RNAcentral.